UACGGAGGAUGCAAGCGUUAUCCGGAAUGAUUGGGCGUAAAGCGUCCGCAGGUGGCUAUUUAAGUCUGCUGUUAAAGAGUCUAGCUCAACUAGAUAAAAGCAGUGGAAACUACAUAGCUAGAGUACGUUCGGGGCAGAGGGAAUUCCUGGUGUAGCGGUGAAAUGCGUAGAUAUCUGGAGGAACACCGGUGGCGAAGGCGGCAUCCUGGACCGACACUGACGCUGAGGAGCGAAAGCCAGGGGAGCAAACGGG
RNAcentral lists this ribosomal RNA (253 nucleotides) under uncultured bacterium. Its description in RNAcentral is "partial 16S ribosomal RNA". It matches the Rfam family "Bacterial small subunit ribosomal RNA", at positions 524 to 776 of the family's 1533-position model. The record is from RNAcentral.